This is a long non-coding RNA of Ricinus communis (castor bean), 1777 nucleotides long. RefSeq lists it as uncharacterized. The record is from RefSeq and is a predicted model, not a curated record. NCBI's taxonomy places the organism in Eukaryota, Viridiplantae, Streptophyta, Magnoliopsida, Malpighiales, Euphorbiaceae. The transcript is spliced from 6 exons.
AGGCAAACAAAUGGAAGCCAAAAAUGAAUCGGUGGUCGAAAAGAAAAUGGAACCAAAAUUUUGAAAAAUCACUCUUUCACUCAUAGUUGUCAACCUCACGAGCAAAGCAGCGACACCCGCGUUGGUGCAAAAUUAAAGAGAAUCCGUUGUUUGAAGUAGAAAAUGGAAGUCGGAUCUUUGCCGGAGUAGCGGCGGCGGGUCAACAUCGGAUAGACUAAUUGCACAAAAGGAUCGGAAUAGCUCCUCCAUUGAAAAGGGAGGGACCUGAAAAUUGGCAAAAGUUAGUUCAAAGACAGUGGAAAAAUAUCAGCUCAUACAUAAAAUCUGGGAAAGCUGGUAAAAAAGUAGUUUUAAUCUUACAUUGUUCUCCGACAUUAUACUCAAGAAGUUAGCUGAGUGGGAUUGCCACAUUGCUUCAUUUGUGUUACCGCUCACAUAUUGUUGGUAUAUAUACACACUAGAGCGUGUUGGAGGUCAAAGCUUGAUUCUCUUACCAAUCAAACAGCCUAGAAUACACGGUCUUUGCUAAGGCAUCACGACUCAAGGUAGCUAGAUCUGGGUCCAGAGGUUUUGUAAUAUUACCAUCAGGAGUCACUAUGACACGCUUGCAAAUUUGAAGAUGGUAGCGUGACUUCUCAUCCUUGAGUUUGGAAGAGUCAACAUCUUUCCCUUUGAUGAACUCAACAUUUCCAAGAUGAAGGAUUGCAGCUACUACACGAAAUAUUGCAUCCUGCAGAGGAGAAACCAGCCUCAGGGGAAUUGUGUGAAAUCACCUCCGGUGGUGCUGCACAAAGCAUGUAAAAGCAAUGAUAGUUUCUCUCCGGAUCUGAAACUUGGCAAACACGGGACCUUUCAAGGAGAUAAGUUCGAACUGCAGCUCCGGAGAUCUUACCAUGCUUAUCAAAUUGAAUCUCAACAAACUUACCAAAACGACUGAUGUAGCCGCCCGGUUUAUAAUCGUUAGUUGAAUUACUCUAUUUUUUUUGGGUAAAACAAAAAAAGAAGAGAGGCGAGACUGUCUAAAUUUUACCUUGAAUUGUUAUUUUUCACGGUUUUAGCAUUCCCGAAUGCUUCCAGAACUGGAUUUGACUGAAGAAGUGGAAAUAUAACUCUGUAUUGUAUCAGUUGAAUCAGAAUAGACAAUGUGAAUGGAUGUAAUAUUCUUAAUUUACCUCCAAAACUUGCUGUUCCACAGUUCUUCCUUCAAUGCCAGAUCUUCCCCCCAUGAAUGCAAGGUAUCUCAUGAGCAUCUUUGUGGUCUCUGUUUUACCAGCUCCACUCUCUCCACUUACCAAAAUGGACUGGCUUUCCUGUUCGUUCAUCAUCGCUCUGAAGUAUAGCUUUGUAUUAUAGCAUACGUCGGAUUUAUGAUAUAAUUCGACAUCACUGCAGUACGGUUCACAUACCUGUAACAAGUGUCUGCUACAGCAAAAAGAUGUGGACUUAGCUCUCCAAAAGCAGCUCCCUUAUACUGCUCCAUCAUGUGAACGUCAUACAGAUGUAGGAGUCUUUGGAAAGGAUUCACAGCUAUUAGAAUGUUGCCAGUGUACGCCAACUUGGUCAUGUCAUCCACUCCUGCUGGCGGUGCCUCUGUGUCUUUUGGAUAUAUGCUAGAUAUAUCUGCAACGAUCUGGAGUUGGAGACAGAAAGAGGCCAACGAUUUAGUUACAUUCUUUUUGUGUUGCAACCGAUUUUGCAUGCCAAAGUUACAGAGACUAUAGUGAAAUUCAACCUUACGCUUUCACGCAUGAAAGUAGAGUGCAAUUUGAAAUGUCAA